AGGAUGAUAGAACAUGGAUAUUACUAGGAUGAUAGAUGAAUGGAUCAUGAUGCAUAAGAACCCUCAUACUUAAAUAGGACUUAAUGAACUGAAAUGGAGUUGUGGUAGUGAUGAUUGAUUGGUGAUUGAUGCUUGUAUGUUUGGAUGUGUAGUCCCUUGAGUGGUUUGCGAUUAAAGCUAGGAUGGUAGAAAGAAGUGAAUGCUAGGUUGAUAGAUGAGAAAUGAAUGUUAAGGUUAUUGAGUAGAACUUGAGUGCGAUGUGUAUUAUGUGUGACACCGAUAACGGGUGGCGUCUAGUGAAUGAGUUCAAGUCCAAGACUAAGUGAAAAAGGAAAGUGAAUGAGAAUGAGAAGGGAUAAGUGAAAGUGAUAAGGAUGUGAAAGGAUAAGUGAAUGUAUAAGAGAAUAAUGUCAAGGUUAAGCAUGAGUCGGGAAAUCAUAUAGAGUCUAAGGAAAGUAUGUGUGGCAGUAGUUCCACGCUAGGUAUCCAUAGGAGAUGUGGCAAAUCCACAAGAAUAUAGACGCACCCAUAGGAGAUGUGGCGAAUCCACAAGAAUAUGGGAUAGAAGCCUAGCGGGAGCUACCCACAAUGAAAAGAAACGAAGUGCCAACCGCGAGAGGCGGGAUAUAAAAACGUGCAUUGUAGAGUCCUUAGUUCAUGGUCGGGUAACGGGGUGUUAAAGGUGUCAUAGGAUUGAGUCGGUCUGGUAAGAUGAGUCAAUUAAGUCUAGGGUUUGACGUGUGUGGCAAUGAGUGAGAUCAUUGUAUUGAUUGAUCACUAGGUUGCUAGAAAUGUAUGGAAUUGAAUGUUUGGAAUUAAUGAUGACGAUAUGAAAUGAUAAGAUGCAUUAACUGAUUGUAGUGGCUAGUCAGUCCUAGUUCCCGCAUAGAGUAGUAUAGAGUGUCAUGCGGGCAGGCUGGUCUAGA
RNAcentral lists this long non-coding RNA (926 nucleotides) under Brassica napus (rape). RNAcentral's name for it is "long non-coding RNA (BNAP_LNC004323)". Lineage: Eukaryota; Viridiplantae; Streptophyta; Magnoliopsida; Brassicales; Brassicaceae. The record is from RNAcentral.